CCUACGGGGGGCUGCAGUGGGGAAUAUUGGACAAUGGGGGGAACCCUGAUCCAGCCAUGCCGCGUGUGUGAAGAAGGCCCUCGGGUUGUAAAGCACUUUCAGUGAGGAAGAACGCCUGGUGGUUAAUACCCAUCAGGAAAGACAUCACUCACAGAAGAAGCACCGGCUAACUCCGUGCCAGCAGCCGCGGUGAUACGGAGGGUGCGAGCGUUAAUCGGAAUUACUGGGCGUAAAGCGCGCGUAGGUGGCUUGAUAAGCCGGUUGUGAAAGCCCCGGGCUCAACCUGGGAACGGCAUCCGGAACUGUCAAGCUAGAGUGCAGGAGAGGAAGGUAGAAUUCCCGGUGUAGCGGUGAAAUGCGUAGAGAUCGGGAGGAAUACCAGUGGCGAAGGCGGCCUUCUGGACUGACACUGACACUGAGGUGCGAAAGCGUGGGUAGCAAACAGGAUUAGAUACCCUUGUAGUC
This 465-nucleotide ribosomal RNA is filed under the name Vreelandella stevensii. Its description in RNAcentral is "partial 16S ribosomal RNA". It matches the Rfam family "Bacterial small subunit ribosomal RNA", at positions 338 to 795 of the family's 1533-position model. Lineage: Bacteria; Pseudomonadati; Pseudomonadota; Gammaproteobacteria; Oceanospirillales; Halomonadaceae. The record is from RNAcentral.